RNAcentral lists this ribosomal RNA (253 nucleotides) under uncultured bacterium. Its description in RNAcentral is "partial 16S ribosomal RNA". It matches the Rfam family "Bacterial small subunit ribosomal RNA", at positions 524 to 776 of the family's 1533-position model. The record is from RNAcentral.
UACAGAGGUCUCAAGCGUUGUUCGGAUUCAUUGGGCGUAAAGGGUGCGUAGGCGGCGCGGUAAGUCGGGUGUGAAAUCUCGGGGCUUAACUCCGAAACUGCAUUCGAUACUGCCGUGCUUGAGGACUGGAGAGGAGACUGGAAUUUACGGUGUAGCGGUGAAAUGCGUAGAUAUCAGGAGGAACACCGGUGGCGAAGGCGGGUCUCUGGGCAAUAACUGACGCUGAGGAGCGAAAGCGUGGGGAGCGAACAGG